Molecule: long non-coding RNA, 744 nt
Filed under: Glycine max (soybean)
Lineage: Eukaryota; Viridiplantae; Streptophyta; Magnoliopsida; Fabales; Fabaceae
Description: long non-coding RNA (GMAX_LNC002726)
Source: RNAcentral
UUUAUAAGGCAAGAAGUCAAGAACGACAGGUGAAUUGAUUCUCUGUUGUCUAUUGCUUUGGCGUUUUGUCUCUCCAGCUUUUUUAACUUUUCCAUUAGAAUCCCAAUACGUGUUUCUAUCAUUCUAUGUUUAUCAUAAAACUAGAGUAAUUCCUGUGUCCAAUAUGGGAGAUUGUCACUAUAACAGAUUUACGAAGAUGAAAAUCUGAAAUUUAAAAAACAAGAUUAUCAAUUAACAACCAUGUUAUUCUUAAUCAUAAUAACUACGAAUCUCGUAAAUCUUGUUUGAUGAUUGAUAUCAAAUUUUGCAACUGUUCUGUAACGUCGUCUCUGUUAAUGUUGAAAAACUUUAUCCAGUCUUUCAUUGCUAUACCAAAAAGUUGGUCUAUUUGUUAAUCAAAAGUUUCAAUGGAAAUUGGUAUCAAUCCGUUGGUGCAAGAGUCAUGGUUGAAAGAAUUAGAAAACAAGAAACAUAUAUUAUUGUCUAUACAUAACUCUAUUAGAUGUUUUGCGGAGGAAGUAUAUAACUAUUGUUUUUGGGCAUUGAACUUUAAUUUCCCUCGUGUUACAAUGGUAGAUGUAAUCCAUUUCUGUUUUUGUAAAGUUACCAAAGCAAGUUCAGAGUACUCCAUUUCUGAUUUUGUAGAGUGGAAAAAAUGUUCAUGUGAUUGAACAUUAAAGAAUGUAACAACAGGAUCUCUUCAGUCCAGCAACCAUGCCCAGAAGAAUGUCGGCAAGAUUGAAC